Molecule: long non-coding RNA, 476 nt
Organism: Prionailurus viverrinus (fishing cat)
Lineage: Eukaryota; Metazoa; Chordata; Mammalia; Carnivora; Felidae
Exons: 2
Source: RefSeq, a predicted model, not a curated record
GUCUUGGUGUGUGAGGGGACCCGUGGGGAGGUUCGCGCUACCCGUAAAGACGGGUCGGUGGGUCGAAACGCUUCGCAAAUGCGGACACGGUAGUCCUGGGUCAUGAUACGGCACAUCUCCGCGGCACCGUGGAUUCUCGCGCCGGCCUUCGGGAAAGCUGGCGCGCCUUCGGUGUUUUCCCGGAGAACAGACGGACCCUCACAGCCGAGAAAGGAAGCACGUGCCAUGACGCAGGUGAUGAAACCUCGAGAACGUGACCCGGAGUGGAAGAAGCCAGGCCCGCAAGGCAGGCUGCCUGCCGUAGGGUUCCAUUUAGGUGAAAUAUCCGGAGUCGGCACACCCUGUAGAGCUAGAGGGCUGAUGAAUGGCUGCCAGAGGUCGAGGAGGGGAAAUGGGGAGUGACUGUUUCGUGGGUGCAGGGUUUCCUUUUCGGGGUGAUGAAAAUGUUCCGGGACUAGAUAAACGUCAUGGUUGCA